Molecule: ribosomal RNA, 468 nt
Filed under: uncultured bacterium
Lineage: Bacteria
Description: partial 16S ribosomal RNA
Rfam family: Bacterial small subunit ribosomal RNA
Source: RNAcentral
GACGAACGCUGGCGGCGUGCUUAACACAUGCAAGUCGAACGGAAAGGCCCUGCUUUUGUGGGGUGCUCGAGUGGCGAACGGGUGAGUAACACGUGAGUAACCUGCCCUUGACUUUGGGAUAACUUCAGGAAACUGGGGCUAAUACCGGAUAGGAGCUCCUGCUGCAUGGUGGGGGUUGGAAAGUUUCGGCGGGUGGGGAUGGACUCGCGGCUUAUCAGCUUGUUGGUGGGGUAGUGGCUUGCCAAGGCUUUGACGGGUAGCCGGCCUGAGAGGGUGACCGGCCACAUUGGGACUGAGAUACGGCCCAGACUCCUACGGGAGGCAGCAGUGGGGAAUAUUGCACAAUGGGCGGAAGCCUGAUGCAGCAACGCCGCGUGCGGGAUGACGGCCUUCGGGUUGUAAACCGCUUUCGCCUGUGACGAAGCGUGAGUGACGGUAAUGGGUAAAGAAGCACCGGCUAACUACGUG